UACGUAGGGGGCAAGCGUUGUCCGGAUUUAUUGGGCGUAAAGAGCUCGUAGGCGGCUCAGUAAGUCGGGUGUGAAACCUCCAGGCCCAACCUGGAGACGCCACCCGAUACUGCUGUGGCUUGAGUCCGGUAGGGGAGCGUGGAAUUCCUGGUGUAGCGGUGAAAUGCGCAGAUAUCAGGAGGAACACCAGCGGCGAAGGCGGCGCUCUGGGCCGGAACUGACGCUGAGGAGCGAAAGCGUGGGUAGCAAACAGG
RNAcentral lists this ribosomal RNA (254 nucleotides) under uncultured bacterium. RNAcentral's name for it is "partial 16S ribosomal RNA". It matches the Rfam family "Bacterial small subunit ribosomal RNA", at positions 524 to 776 of the family's 1533-position model. The record is from RNAcentral.